Pantherophis guttatus is the source of this 4201-nucleotide non-coding RNA. The record is from RefSeq and is a predicted model, not a curated record. NCBI's taxonomy places the organism in Eukaryota, Metazoa, Chordata, Lepidosauria, Squamata, Colubridae.
GGGGCGAGGGGCGGCUGGCCCGGCGGGGGCGAGGGGGCGGCAAGCGGAGCGCCGGGCGCGGCCCCGGGCAGGGAGGCGCCGCUGUCCUCAGCACCUUCCGCGGGAUCCGCCGUUGCCGCCCGGGGCCGGAGGGAGGGCGGCGGCUGCGGACCGGCAGCGGGCGCCCGGAGGCGGAUCUCCAGCCCAGCCCGGGCCGGGCGCUGAGCCUGGGCGAGGCCGGAGAGCGCGGCUGCUGUGAGCCGGGCCGGAGGAGCCUCCCCGGAGGCCAGCGCCUGCUUUCUUUGCCCGCAUAAGCAAACCUCUGCUUCCCCUCGGGGGCUGCCAGCUCCCUGGCUCCGGUUGUCGGCCAGCAGGCAGGCGGGGCUGACCUUCCAAAGGCAGAAGGCCGGGCGCUGCUUUGGAGGAGGGCGCCGGGGACCUCGAAGUAGGGCUGCCGAAGGAGGUGCUUUGGAGACUAGGUCGACCCCCUCUUCUCUGUGACAGCCCCUCAAGUACUGGAAGACUGCCAUCAUAUCACCCAUUCAGAAUAACAGAGUUGGAAGGGACCUGGUAGGUCAUCUAGUCCAACCCCUGCUCAAGCAGGAGACUCUAGAUCAUUUCUAACAAGUGGCUGUCCAGUCUCUUCUUCAAAGCCUCCAGAGAUGAAGCACCCACAACUUCUGAAGGCAACUUCUGUUCCAUCGGUUGAUUGCUCUCACUGUCAGAAAAUGUCUCCAAGGUUGAAUCUCUCCUCCUUCAGUUUCCAUCCUUUAUUCCUUGUCUGGCUUCGGGUGCCUUGGAAAAUAGGUUUCCCCCCCCCCGUGGCAGCCCCUCAAAUAUUGGAACAUUGCCAUCAUGUCGUGGGAAUGCUAUUUGAUAUAUUUUUUCUUAUUGAUAAGCUUUAAGUAAAAUUACAGCAUAAAACAUUGUUUUAAAUGUGCUAUGGAUAAUGGAUAUAGCAAGAUAUAUGUCAAUCUAUUGUAUCUAAUAAACUAUAAUGAAAAGGUAUUUGGGUGUAAAUAUAUAGAACUGUGUCCAAAUAUGUAUUCCAUAAUGAAUAGAAAUUCCUCAAAUAUCCCUUUAUUAAUUUUUAGAAUUUAUUUGGCACCAGCAUUUAUAGCCUAUUGUCUUGAAUAGUUAAACUGCAACAAGAGCUGUAGUAAAUUCAAAACUUUCUACAUGCUAAAUUCUUCAUUGCUGGCACAAUCUUUUCUUUUUCUCUGGAGGCAGAGACUCAACCUCUAGAGAAGAAUUCUAAGACAAUGAAAAUCCUUCUGUGUUUAGGCUAGAGCCGCUAGACAUACCCAGUGCCUUCAACCAUUCACUGUAUGUUUUAGCCUCCAGAUCCUCCAUCAUCUUGGUUUUCUGCUCGCUCUCUCUAGGAUCUUUUUUCUGUCCUCGUGAUUAGAAUUCCAAGCGUGACCUCACCAGUGCAGGAACAAAGGGGUACUGUCACUUCACAUGAACUUGAGGCUGUCCCUCUGUUGAUGCAGCCCAGGACUGGGUUGGCUUUUUUGGCUGCUGCAGCACACUGCUGGCUGAUACUUAAGUGGUGGUGUGCUCGGACUCUCGCAGUUGCUGUUGAGCCCGGCAGUGCCUAUUCAGGGCCUGGUUUUUUGCUUGCUUGCUUGCUUGCUUGUUUUUUGCCCAAGUGGCAGGACCUGGCUUCUCUCACUACUGAGCUGCAUCUUGUUGGUUAGGGCCAAUGCUCAAGUCUGUCAAGAUCCUUGUGAAUCUUGAGCCCAUCUUUCACAGGGAUAGCAAACCCCAAUUCUAAUCCUGGGAUGUAAACCAUCCGAUCUUGGUGAUUGGAACUCAUCUAAAGUGCACAGGUAUUUUGCCUAUUUUGGCCUGCUUUCCUGUUUUGUCUCCAACAAUUUUGGUAGGUUGGGCUAUUUUUUUCCUUUUGUGUAAAAACAGGUUCAAAGAAGAAAUUAAGCAGUUCUGCUUUCUCCCUGCUGCUUGUCACCUUCUUGCCAUCUUCCUCCAGUAGCAAACCAUUUCCUUGAUUUUCUUCUUAUUCCUUACAUGUGGAAAAACUUCGUUAUUUUAGGCAUUUGUUGCAAGUUUCAGCUCAUUGUGUGUUUUAGCUUUCCUGAAACCCUCUUUGUAGAUUUGGGCUAUCUGCUGAUAUUUUGUUCUACUUAUGGACACCUCAUUCUAGUUUUUACACUUGUCCUUUUUAUCCCUCAUUUUGUCAGAGCACUCUUUAUGCAACCAUUCUGAUCUUAUUUAUUACUUAUUAAUCAAAUUUCUAUAUCGCCCUACUCCCGGAGGACUCAGGGCGAACAGCCAAGAUAAAAUACAGAUAAUACAAGUAUUAAAAAUCCCUUAAAAUUAUUAAAUAUUUUGGCCGAAACACAGAUUAAAACACCCAAUUUAUAAAAUCAAACGAAUUAAAAAUUUAAAAGAGGAGAGCAGGCCAGCCUGCUGAAAUAAAAAAGUUUUGAGAGCACGACGAAACGUGCGCAGGACAUCUUGUCUGAUGUCCUUUUUUUGGGCCUGCAUUUCUCAUUUUUCAGUUUCUCAAGCAUCUUGGAAUUGUUUUACCCUUUAGGAUUUCUGUCGACGGAAUCCUUCCUAUUCCCCCCUUAAGUUUGUUGAAGUCAGUCAGCUCUCUUAAUGUCUAAAGUCUGACAUUGUUACCUGUGCCUGUAUUAUGGUGAAUUCUAGUAUGACAUGGUCACUCUCCCCCAAAGUUCUUGUGACUUCCACCUCUUCUAUCAUUUCAUCUCUGUUAGUAAGAAUUAAGUUGAGUGUAGCUGACUCCCUGGUUCCUCUCUCUACCUUUUGGGUAACAAGAGUUGUCAGCCAGGCAGGUGAGGAGCCUGUUUGGUCUCCCACUUGCUGCAGAGUUUGUUUCCCAGCUGAUGUCAGGACAAAGUCCCCCAUUGCUGGAGUGGCAUGUUUCUUGCAGCACCUCAUUUAACCGUAUAGCAAAAGGUCCAUCUAUUUCCUCUGCCUAGUUGGGUGGCUUGUGCUAUAUACAUUACUCACCCUGAUGCAUUCAAGGCUUCAGGUCGCCCCCCCCCUCCAGGUUUGGGAAAGCAAGUUCUGUCCCUGUUCGCACUGGGGCAAGGACACAGGAAUGGCACUCAUUCCUGCAGGCAAUGAGGGUACCUGUUCUGUGCCACUCUAGCUGCCGCUAUACACAAUGGACAGCCAGCCCACCCACCCAUCACCCAGGGUCUCGAGAGGCCUAUUGCACAAGGCCAGGGGGCUCCCCUGGGGCCACAUGCCAAUAAAGGAGCACCGUUGGUGAAGGGGAGGUAGGCUGCCUACAGCAACUACUAUGGAGCAAACAAUGAAACUUUUGAAAAUGCCCACCUAGGGCUUAAAAUGGGCAUCUUGGCAGGAGAGAAGAAAUGCGUGCAACAGAGAAAGGCAGGAGUUUAGUUGCUGAGGAGAUAUUGCAAAUUAUAAAACAAUAAAAUAGCAAUUUAUGCUCCAAAUGAAAACCAAAGUGACUUUUAUGGAAGACUACACAAUAAAGUAACUGAAAUGGAUUAUGACAACAUAUGCAUGAUGGGAGAUUUUAAUGGAAUUGUGAAGGAAAAUUGGGACUACAAAAUGAAUAAAGCAACAAAGCACAGUAGGAAAAUAUUGCCAAAGUCCUUUUUUAAGAUGAUGGAGGAAAUGAAUAUGAAAGAUAUAUGGAGAGAAAGAAAUAAAGGAAAGAAACAAUAUACAUUUUAUUCAGACAGACAUUUAUCGUGGUCUAGGUUAGACACGAUAUGGUCAACAAUGGAAUUGUUGUUUGUGGGAAUGCAGUGGCCAUAGUACAUGUAUAGACCAGUUUAACUGGUUGGACACUUGUAUGGAGCUUAGCAAUGAAAUAAUCAAACUAUGAAAAGUGGGUUCAUAUGGAUACUCUCUGAAGGGCCCUAUUCAUUCUCUCUUUGUUUAUAACAUAGGAUGUGCCUGCAAAAGUAAAGAUAUCUCCUUGUAUAAACAUUCUUGAGAAACAAAGCAGACACAUCUCUUAUCUCUUUGUAAACACAUUCCUGAGAAUCAGAUAACAGAGAUGGGCCUCUCGCCUGGUAGUAUCUGGUACCAAGCAGCCAGAGUUAGGUUUUGCUUUUUAUCUUUACCAUUGUUUUCCUAUCUCUCGUAUGUAAUAUGAGAUGUGUGGCCAUAAUAACGCCUUCUGAUGACGCUGUAUUUUGGUAACUAAUAAAAGAGAUUGUAGCUCUUUGUUUGCUGCUCUCUCAUCCCGAGAAAA